Non-coding RNA from Oryzias latipes (Japanese medaka), 1050 nucleotides. Lineage: Eukaryota; Metazoa; Chordata; Actinopteri; Beloniformes; Adrianichthyidae. The record is from RefSeq and is a predicted model, not a curated record.
UUUUCCAUUCAUAUAUGCGGGCUGACGUGGGUCACGUGACGUGCCUUUCUCUUUUUUUCCUGUGGAAAAUCUCGUAAAAAGGUACGUUGCGAUUUACUAAUUUGUUUUAUUUACAUUUCUAGGGACCCGUGUAUAGGUUUUCUCGUUCCGUGUUGCUGUUGCGGCGAUCAGGCUUUGAUUGACAUGUGACAACAAACCGGAAAAAUGUUGAGUUCAGGGACGGACCAAAGAGUUCUUUAAAUUGAUUUUUCUGCAUUUUAAUUUAUUUACACUACGAGUCUAAUGGUGUGUGAUAAAAAAACUAUAAAUAUUAUGAUAAAUGAGAUGAAACAAUUAUUUUGAUGGAGUUUAUAAAAUAUUAGGAUCUAUUAUAUUCUUUUUUCUUUAACUGUCAAUUUUUUGACGUAUCUCAUAUAUUAUAGUAUUACAAUGAAGUGCUCUAAUUUAUCUGUUAAAAAAGGUUUCAUCACUGUUUCCUGUAGUAAUUCUCAAUAAAGUUUUAAAUAGGAUAUAUUAAAUAGGAUAUAUUAUCUAAAGUAAACAGGCUUUUAAGCCUUCAAUUUGCCCCAAUUGACAUGAAUUGCGCAUUUCGAAAAGCCAGUGAACGCAGCGUCAUACGGGCACCCCCACCCCACUCCCCCGGAAACCCCCGGAUGAACCCGCAGGAAGGCGCGCGGCUGAAGAACUCUUGGACAGCUGGAAGGCAGCAGGAUCACGGUGAAGGCCUCUUAUGUAUAGAGGACGGGGGCGGAAACGUCACGUGGUCUCCGCAGAGACUGGUCAGUUAUUUGGAGACAACAUGUACAAAUAGUUCCUGGACUGAUCUUCUGCUAACUUUGAGAUGGAGAGGCUGUCAGGUUCAUCUGUUUCAGUGUCCUGCAUGCUCUCCCUCCAUGUUGGCUGUAGCAGUGGAUGGAACUUGCUAAAUGUACUGUUUUGAGAGCCAACUGGGGCUCAGUGGUUAUUUGGAAGAUGCGUUUUUGACCAAAAACACUGUGGUGACCUCCUUUGUGAACUGCAUUCAUGGGGAAAUAAAAUAUGCCUGCAUAU